Molecule: ribosomal RNA, 252 nt
Filed under: uncultured bacterium
Lineage: Bacteria
Description: partial 16S ribosomal RNA
Rfam family: Bacterial small subunit ribosomal RNA
Source: RNAcentral
GCAAGUCGAGCGGUAACGAGAAGUAGCUUGCUACUUCGCUGACGAGCGGCGGACGGGUGAGUAAUGCCUAGGAAAUUGCCCUGAUGUGGGGGAUAACCAUUGGAAACGAUGGCUAAUACCGCAUAAUGCCUUCGGGCCAAAGAGGGGGACCUUCGGGCCUCUCGCGUCAGGAUAUGCCUAGGUGGGAUUAGCUAGUUGGUGAGGUAAUGGCUCACCAAGGCGACGAUCCCUAGCUGGUCUGAGAGGAUGAUC